This 41-nucleotide ribosomal RNA is filed under the name Scybalium glaziovii. RNAcentral's name for it is "partial 26S ribosomal RNA". Lineage: Eukaryota; Viridiplantae; Streptophyta; Magnoliopsida; Santalales; Balanophoraceae. The record is from RNAcentral.
UGACCCCAAGUUAGGUCGGGCGACCCGCUGAGUUUAACCAU